GCCCAAUUGAUUGAUGGUGCUUGCACCUGAUUGAUUUUGGUCGCCAACGAGUGGCGGACGGGUGAGUAACACGUAGGUAACCUGCCCAGAAGCGGGGGACAACAUUUGGAAACAGAUGCUAAUACCGCAUAACAGCGUUGUUCGCAUGAACAACGCUUAAAAGAUGGCUUCUCGCUAUCACUUCUGGAUGGACCUGCGGUGCAUUAGCUUGUUGGUGGGGUAACGGCCUACCAAGGCGAUGAUGCAUAGCCGAGUUGAGAGACUGAUCGGCCACAAUGGGACUGAGACACGGCCCAUACUCCUACGGGAGGCAGCAGUAGGGAAUCUUCCACAAUGGGCGCAAGCCUGAUGGAGCAACACCGCGUGAGUGAAGAAGGGUUUCGGCUCGUAAAGCUCUGUUGUUAAAGAAGAACACGUAUGAGAGUAACUGUUCAUACGUUGACGGUAUUUAACCAGAAAGUCACGGCUAACUACGUGCCAGCAGCCGCGGUAAUACGUAGGUGGCAAGCGUUAUCCGGAUUUAUUGGGCGUAAAGAGAGUGCAGGCGGUUUUCUAAGUCUGAUGUGAAAGCCUUCGGCUUAACCGGAGAAGUGCAUCGGAAACUGGAUAACUUGAGUGCAGAAGAGGGUAGUGGAACUCCAUGUGUAGCGGUGGAAUGCGUAGAUAUAUGGAAGAACACCAGUGGCGAAGGCGGCUACCUGGUCUGCAACUGACGCUGAGACUCGAAAGCAUGGGUAGCGAACAGGAUUAGAUACCCUGGUAGUCCAUGCCGUAAACGAUGAGUGCUAGGUGUUGGAGGGUUUCCGCCCUUCAGUGCCGGAGCUAACGCAUUAAGCACUCCGCCUGGGGAGUACGACCGCAAGGUUGAAACUCAAAGGAAUUGACGGGGGCCCGCACAAGCGGUGGAGCAUGUGGUUUAAUUCGAAGCUACGCGAAGAACCUUACCAGGUCUUGACAUCUUGCGCCAACCCUAGAGAUAGGGCGUUUCCUUCGGGAACGCAAUGACAGGUGGUGCAUGGUCGUCGUCAGCUCGUGUCGUGAGAUGUUGGGUUAAGUCCCGCAACGAGCGCAACCCUUGUUACUAGUUGCCAGCAUUAAGUUGGGCACUCUAGUGAGACUGCCGGUGACAAACCGGAGGAAGGUGGGGACGACGUCAGAUCAUCAUGCCCCUUAUGACCUGGGCUACACACGUGCUACAAUGGACGGUACAACGAGUCGCGAACUCGCGAGGGCAAGCAAAUCUCUUAAAACCGUUCUCAGUUCGGACUGCAGGCUGCAACUCGCCUGCACGAAGUCGGAAUCGCUAGUAAUCGCGGAUCAGCAUGCCGCGGUGAAUACGUUCCCGGGCCUUGUACACACCGCCCGUCACACCAUGAGAGUUUGUAACACCCAAAGUCGGUGGGGUAACCUUUUAGGAGCCAGCCGCCUAAGGUGGG
RNAcentral lists this ribosomal RNA (1436 nucleotides) under Limosilactobacillus fermentum. Its description in RNAcentral is "bacterial SSU rRNA". It matches the Rfam family "Bacterial small subunit ribosomal RNA". Lineage: Bacteria; Bacillati; Bacillota; Bacilli; Lactobacillales; Lactobacillaceae. The record is from RNAcentral.